Long non-coding RNA from Malus domestica (apple), 581 nucleotides. RefSeq lists it as uncharacterized. The record is from RefSeq and is a predicted model, not a curated record. NCBI's taxonomy places the organism in Eukaryota, Viridiplantae, Streptophyta, Magnoliopsida, Rosales, Rosaceae.
AUCACCGUCUCUUUCUUCUCUAUGUUCACAGAGAAGCCAACCCCCAAAGAACAGCCACGUUCCAGACCACAUCCACAACCGUGUCACUCUCUCUUCUUUUCUCCCUCAACGCUCAACUCCCAACUUUCUCUAACCUCUCACUCUGUACACUAACACAAAUGGAUGCUGCCACCACCUCACGAUUUUUCGAUGAAAAAUAUGUCAAUUACUCGUCGGAUUGGACAAGACUAAGGCCACAUAUCACUUCCCCUUCAUCUUGAGGUUAGGAUUCGAGCACGGGAGGCUCGAAUUUGCCUCAAUUUCGCGAGAAACCACAAGCCCAGUUUUGGGCUAACAAGCUCAGGCCAUUAUCCGGCCACAACUUGGCCUAAAAAUGUUAACGAAUGAGUGGGCUCCAGUCCUACCACUUCAGCAUUUAACAGAAAAGUUGAUGGAGGUAUGACAUUGCGACAAAGUUAUAAGAUGAUGUAUAACAUUUCAAUGUUCAAAAUAUGGAGUAUGAGAUUAUAUGCGACUCAUAGUUGAGGUGGUUUUAUGUAAUUUAUCCUUUUUCUUUUGUAUUUUAAAUAAUAUUUACUUCU